This 86-nucleotide transfer RNA is filed under the name Zhongshania borealis. RNAcentral describes it as "tRNA-Leu". It matches the Rfam family "tRNA". From Rfam's summary of the family: Transfer RNA (tRNA) molecules are approximately 80 nucleotides in length. Their secondary structure includes four short double-helical elements and three loops (D, anti-codon, and T loops). The record is from RNAcentral. Lineage: Bacteria; Pseudomonadati; Pseudomonadota; Gammaproteobacteria; Cellvibrionales; Spongiibacteraceae. RNAcentral also lists the same sequence under 9 other names.
GCCGAAGUGGUGGAAUUGGUAGACACGCCAUCUUGAGGGGGUGGUGAGCAUAGCUCGUGCGGGUUCAAGUCCCGCCUUCGGCACCA